Molecule: long non-coding RNA, 558 nt
Organism: Gadus macrocephalus (Pacific cod)
Lineage: Eukaryota; Metazoa; Chordata; Actinopteri; Gadiformes; Gadidae
Exons: 5
Source: RefSeq, a predicted model, not a curated record
GCUGUGUGCUGAUGCUAAUUAAACAUUAUGUUGUGUUUAUCAGAUAAUUCAGGGAUUGAUGCAUCUCAGUGCCUUCACGUACAACGUGGUGGACACCAUUUACUUAAUGGAUUAUUACACCGCAGGUGUACUUUUAUUUGGUGACAGAGCUACUACACGUCGCCACACUUUACCUAAGGUAAACUUUGAUAACUUUGACGGAAUCCUGUCAUUUGUCCACGUGAACAAAAAUCACUGGAACAUGCUGUACAUUCAUGCAAAGUCUGGUACUGUGUACCAAAUGGAUCCCUCACCAGCAUCCUCUGAGCUUGAGGACUCUACCCAUGCGGCUCAGAGACUACAGGAAUACUUGAAGACUAGAAAACAUCAGGGGAAAACUGACUGGGUGGAUGUGAAGUGGAAAGGAGGAGUGAUGCCCCACCCAGUGCAAAGGGAUGGUUGCAGCUGUGGUGUCAUUGUUGUUGAAAUGGCCAGAGCAGUGAUGGAAGCCUUCCCUGAGUUCCCCAAAAUGAACUUCUCAACAAAAAGGAGAGCCAUGGAAGAGGCGAGGAGAGAUAU